RNAcentral lists this transfer RNA (75 nucleotides) under Leucobacter luti. It matches the Rfam family "tRNA". Rfam says of the family: Transfer RNA (tRNA) molecules are approximately 80 nucleotides in length. Their secondary structure includes four short double-helical elements and three loops (D, anti-codon, and T loops). The record is from Rfam by way of RNAcentral. Lineage: Bacteria; Bacillati; Actinomycetota; Actinomycetes; Micrococcales; Microbacteriaceae.
CGGGACGUAGCUCAGCUUGGCUAGAGCGCGCGCUUUGGGAGCGUGAAGUCGCAGGUUCAAAUCCUGUCGUCCCGA